Molecule: ribosomal RNA, 2927 nt
Filed under: Loigolactobacillus bifermentans
Lineage: Bacteria; Bacillati; Bacillota; Bacilli; Lactobacillales; Lactobacillaceae
Description: Lactobacillus bifermentans 23S ribosomal RNA
Rfam family: Bacterial large subunit ribosomal RNA
Source: RNAcentral
AGGUUAAGUUAUAAAGGGCGUACGGUGGAUGCCUUGGCACUAGGAGCCGAUGAAGGACGGAACUAAUACCGAUAUGCUUCGGGGAGCUAUACGUAAGCUUUGAUCCGAAGAUUUCCGAAUGGGGGAACCCAGCCAACUUAGUCGUUGGUUACUGUAUUGUGAAUACAUAGCAAUAUAGAGGUAGACGUGGGGAACUGAAACAUCUCAGUACCCACAGGAAUAGAAAGAAAAAUCGAUUCCCUAAGUAGCGGCGAGCGAACGGGGAACAGCCCAAACCAAGAAGCUUGCUUCUUGGGGUUGUAGGACUGGCCUUUGGAGUUACCAAAGUCAGUGGUAGUCGAAGCAGUUGGAACGCUGCAUCAAAGAGGGUGAAAAUCCCGUAGACAAAACCACUGGCCCUCCGGCCAGGAUCCUGAGUACGGCGGAACACGUGAAAUUCCGUCGGAAUCCGGGAGGACCAUCUCCCAAGGCUAAAUACUCCCUAGUGACCGAUAGUGAACCAGUACCGUGAGGGAAAGGUGAAAAGCACCCCGGAAGGGGAGUGAAACAGUUCCUGAAACCGUAUGCCUACAAGUAGUCAGAGCACGUUAAUGUGUGAUGGCGUGCCUUUUGUAGAAUGAACCGGCGAGUUACGUUUGCAAGCGAGGUUAAGGUGAAAAACCGGAGCCGUAGCGAAAGCGAGUCUGAAAUGGGCAACAUAGUUUGUAGACGUAGACCCGAAACCAGGUGACCUACCCAUGUCCAGGUUGAAGGUGUGGUAAAACACACUGGAGGACCGAACCCGUGUAUGUUGAAAAAUGCUGGGAUGAGGUGUGGGUAGCGGUGAAAUUCCAAACGAACUUGGAGAUAGCUGGUUCUCUCCGAAAUAGCUUUAGGGCUAGCCUCGGAAGAAAUCAUCAUGGAGGUAGAGCACUGUUUGGACUAGGGGCCCGUCUUGGGUUACUGAAUUCAGAUAAACUCCGAAUGCCAUCGAUGUAAUUAUCCGGGAGUCAGACUAUGAGUGAUAAGAUCCGUAGUCGAAAGGGAAACAGCCCAGAUCACCAGUUAAGGUCCCAAAAUUUAUGUUAAGUGGAAAAGGAUGUGGGGUUGCAUAGACAACUAGGAUGUUGGCUCAGAAGCAGCCACCAUUUAAAGAGUGCGUAAUAGCUCACUAGUCGAGUGACCCUGCGCCGAAAAUGUACCGGGGCUAAACAUAAUACCGAAACUGUGGAUGGCCACUACGUGGCCGUGGUAGGAGAGCGUUCUAAGGGCGUUGAAGGUCGAUCGUGAGGACGGCUGGAGCGCUUAGAAGUGAGAAUGCCGGUAUGAGUAGCGAAAGACAGGUGAGAAUCCUGUCCACCGAAUGACUAAGGUUUCCUGGGGAAGGCUCGUCCUCCCAGGGUUAGUCGGGACCUAAGCCGAGGCCGAGAGGCGUAGGCGAUGGAUAACAGGUUGAGAUUCCUGUACUAGUUUAUUUUGUUUGAACGAUGGAGGGACGCAGGAGGCUAAGGUAACCAUUCUGUUGGAUAUGAAUGGCCAAGCAACAAGUCUUAGGUUGAGUCAAAUGCUUGAUCUUAUACGGACAAGUUGUGAUGGGUAGCGAAAUUUAAGUAGCGAAGUACCUGAUGUCACACUGCCAAGAAAAGCUUCUAGUGAGAAAUAAACUACCCGUACCGCAAACCGACACAGGUAGUCGAGGAGAGAAUCCUCAGGUGAGCGAGCGAACUCUCGUUAAGGAACUCGGCAAAAUGACCCCGUAACUUCGGAAGAAGGGGUGCUGCACGCAAGUGCAGCCGCAGUGAAUAGGCCCAGGCGACUGUUUAUCAAAAACACAGGUCCCUGCUAAAUCGUAAGAUGACGUAUAGAGGCUGACGCCUGCCCGGUGCUGGAAGGUUAAGUGGAUGUGUUAGCACUUCGGUGCGAAGCUCAGAAAUGAAGCCCCAGUAAACGGCGGCCGUAACUAUAACGGUCCUAAGGUAGCGAAAUUCCUUGUCGGGUAAGUUCCGACCCGCACGAAAGGCGUAACGAUCUGGGCACUGUCUCGACGAGAGACUCGGUGAAAUUAUAAUACCCGUGAAGAUGCGGGUUACCCGCGACAGGACGGAAAGACCCCAUGGAGCUUUACUGUAGCUUGAUAUUGAGUGUUGGUACAGCUUGUACAGGAUAGGUAGGAGCCGUUGAAGCCGGAACGCUAGUUUCGGUGGAGGCAUUGGUGGGAUACUACCCUUGCUGUAUGAACACUCUAACCCGCGCCACUCAGCGUGGCGGGAGACAGUGUCAGGUGGGCAGUUUGACUGGGGCGGUCGCCUCCUAAAAAGUAACGGAGGCGCCCAAAGGUUCCCUCAGAAUGGUUGGAAAUCAUUCAUAGCGUGUAAAGGCAUAAGGGAGCUUGACUGCGAGACUUACAGGUCGAGCAGGGACGAAAGUCGGGCUUAGUGAUCCGGUGGUUCCGCAUGGAAGGGCCAUCGCUCAACGGAUAAAAGCUACCCUGGGGAUAACAGGCUUAUCUCCCCCAAGAGUCCACAUCGACGGGGAGGUUUGGCACCUCGAUGUCGGCUCAUCGCAUCCUGGGGCUGUAGUUGGUCCCAAGGGUUGGGCUGUUCGCCCAUUAAAGCGGUACGCGAGCUGGGUUCAGAACGUCGUGAGACAGUUCGGUCCCUAUCCGUCGCGGGCGUAGGAAAUUUGAGUGGAGCUGUUCCUAGUACGAGAGGACCGGAAUGGACAUACCGCUGGUGUACCAGUUGUGCCGCCAGGCGCAUCGCUGGGUAGCUAAGUAUGGACGGGAUAAACGCUGAAAGCAUCUAAGUGUGAAGCCCCCCACAAGAUGAGAUUUCCCAUUCCUUUAUGGAAGUAAGACCCCUGAGAGAUGAUCAGGUAGAUAGGUUGGAAGUGGAAGUGUAGUGAUACAUGGAGCGGACCAAUACUAAUCGGUCGAGGACUUAACCAAG